GGCCCCAUCGUCUAACGGUUUAGGACACUGCCUUCUCAAGGCAGUAAUAUGGGUUCGAAUCCCGUUGGGGCUA
Molecule: transfer RNA, 73 nt
Filed under: Patescibacteria group bacterium
Lineage: Bacteria
Also listed under: 1 other name
Description: tRNA-Glu
Rfam family: tRNA
About the family: Transfer RNA (tRNA) molecules are approximately 80 nucleotides in length. Their secondary structure includes four short double-helical elements and three loops (D, anti-codon, and T loops).
Source: RNAcentral